This 86-nucleotide transfer RNA is filed under the name Candidatus Aenigmatarchaeota archaeon. Its description in RNAcentral is "tRNA-Ser". It matches the Rfam family "tRNA". Rfam says of the family: Transfer RNA (tRNA) molecules are approximately 80 nucleotides in length. Their secondary structure includes four short double-helical elements and three loops (D, anti-codon, and T loops). The record is from RNAcentral. Lineage: Archaea; Nanobdellati; Candidatus Aenigmatarchaeota.
GCCCGGAUCGCACAACCUGGUAGUGCACUAGCCUGCUAAGCUAGGGAGCCUUUUGGCUCUUGCGGGUUCAAAUCCCGCUCCGGGCG